RNAcentral lists this ribosomal RNA (840 nucleotides) under Monacha densecostulata. Its description in RNAcentral is "partial 16S ribosomal RNA". Lineage: Eukaryota; Metazoa; Mollusca; Gastropoda; Stylommatophora; Hygromiidae. The record is from RNAcentral.
AUAAUCUAUAAUUGUGCAGAUUUUCAGUUCACGAAACCAUUCGAGCUAAAUUUCGUGAAAUUUUGGUUCCAAAAAUUAGCGUAGCAAAGCUAAAAAUUUAAAAAAAAUUUAGGGGUGAUAGGCCGGCCAAGUCUGGGGAUAUCUUGUUAUUUAGGAAAUAUAUUUAGUAUAAUAAUUCAGUAUUAAAAUGGUGAGGUUUUAAUAUACCAUAAUUAAGUAAGAACAAGUGUUGGGUGUAGUAAAAAACACCAAUUAAGUAAAUCAAAUAUAAAUUUACAGUUAAUAUGAUAAAUACUAAAGACUAUUUUACAAUAUAAUAAAAUAAUGAUAAUGAUAAUAUUAGUACUUUUUGAUACAUUAAUUAGGAACUCGGCAAACAGUAUUCUCGUCUGUUUAUCAAAAACAAAGUUUUAAGUAAUAUAUUUAAAAUAAAACCUGCUCAAUGAUUUAUUUAAAUAGCCGCAGUACCUUGACUGUGCAAAGGUAGCAUAAUCAAUUGGCUUAUAAUUGAAGUCUGGAAUGAAAGGGAAUCCGGGGAUUAGCUCUCUUAUUAAUUUUAAAUGAACUUACUAAUUAAGUGAAAAUUCUUAAGAAAAGAAAAAAGACGAGAAGACCCUAGAAAUUUACAUUUGAUAUAUUUUGUUGGGGCGACACGGUAACAAGUAACCUACCUAAAAAAAUAAGAAUUUAUUUAAAGGUGUAAUUAAAUUACUCUAGGGAUAACAGCAUAAUAUUUGAAAGAUUGUGACCUCGAUGUUGGACUAGGGAAAAUAAUAUUUAGAAGAUAUUAUUAGUUGCUCUGUUCGAGCAUUACCCCUACACGAUCUGAGUUCAGACCGG